AGGAAGUCGAACGGUAGCACAGAGAGCUUGCUCUCGGGUGACGAGUGGCGGACGGGUGAGUAAUGUCUGGGAAACUGCCUGAUGGAGGGGGAUAACUACUGGAAACGGUAGCUAAUACCGCAUAACGUCGCAAGCCAAAGAGGGGGACCUUCGGGCCUCUUGCCAUCAGAUGUGCCCAGAUGGGAUUAGCUAGUAGGUGGGGUAACGGCUCACCUAGGCGACGAUCCCUAGCUGGUCUGAGAGGAUGACCAGCCACACUGGAACUGAGACACGGUCCAGACUCCUACGGGAGGCAGCAGUGGGGAAUAUUGCACAAUGGGCGCAAGCUGAUGCAGCCAUGCCGCGUGUAUGAAGAAGGCCUUCGGGUUGUAAAGUACUUUCAGCGGGGAGGAAGGUGUUGAGGUUAAUAACCUCAUCAAUUGACGUUACCCGCAGAAGAAGCACCGGCUAACUCCGUGCCAGCAGCCGCGGUAAUACGGAGGGUGCAAGCGUUAAUCGGAAUUACUGGGCGUAAAGCGCACGCAGGCGGUCUGUCAAGUCGGAUGUGAAAUCCCCGGGCUCAACCUGGGAACUGCAUUCGAAACUGGCAGGCUAGAGUCUUGUAGAGGGGGGUAGAAUUCCAGGUGUAGCGGUGAAAUGCGUAGAGAUCUGGAGGAAUACCGGUGGCGAAGGCGGCCCCCUGGACAAAGACUAACGUUCAGGUCGCGAAAGCGUAGCCGAGCAAACAGGGUUUAGUUACCUGGUAGUCCACGCCGUAAACGAUGUCGACUUGGAGGUUGUGCCCUUGAGGCGUGGCUUCCGGAGCUAACGCGUUAAGUCGACCGCCCUGGGGAAGUGACGGCCGCAAGGUUAAAAACUCAAAUGAAUUGACGGGGGCCCGCACAAGCGUGGAGCAUGUGGUUUAAUUCGAUGCAACGCGAAGAACCUUACCUACUCUUGACAUCCAGAGAACUUAGCAGAGAUGCUUUGGUGCCUUCGGGAACUCUGAGACAGGUGCUGCAUGGCUGUCGUCAGCUCGUGUUGU
This 1024-nucleotide ribosomal RNA is filed under the name uncultured bacterium. Its description in RNAcentral is "bacterial SSU rRNA". It matches the Rfam family "Bacterial small subunit ribosomal RNA", at positions 56 to 1068 of the family's 1533-position model. The record is from RNAcentral.